AGUUCGAUCCCGGCUCAGAUUGAACGCUGGCGGGAUGCUUUACACAUGCAAGGUCGAACGGCAGCACGGACUUCGGUCUGCGGCGAGUGGCGAACGGGUGAGUAAUGUAUCGGAACGUGCCUAGUAGCGGGGGAUAACUACGCGAAAGUGGCUGACACCGUAUACGUACCUCCUCUGGGGGAAAGCGGGGACCUUCGGGCCUCUUCGCACUAUUAGAGUUGGCCGAUAUCGGAUUAGCUAGUUGGUGGGGUAACGGCUCACCAAGGCGACGAUCCGUAGCUGGUUUGAGAGGACGACCAGCCACACUGGGACUGAGACAGCCCAGACUCUACGGAGGCAGCAGGGAAUUUUGGACAAUGGGGGAAACCCUGAUCCAGCCAUCCCGCGUGUGCGAUGAAGGCCUUCGGGUUGUAAAGCACUUCGCAGGAAAGAAACGGUACGAUACCUCCGCAACUGACGGUACUCAAAGAAUAAGCUAACGCCAACGCUGCGCCAGCAGCCGCGUACAUGUAGGGCGGCAAGCGUUAAUCGGAAUUACUGGGCGGAAGCGUGCGGCGGCGGUUCGGAAAGAAAGAUGAAAUCCCAGAGCUUAACUUUUGAACUGCAUUUCUCCUUUAACUACCGAGCUAGAGGUCAGAGGAGGUAACUCGCGUAGCAGUGAAAUGCGUAGAUAUGCGGAGGAACACCGAUGGCGAAGGCAGCCUCCUGGGGAUAACACUGACGCUCAUGCACGAAAGCGUGGGGAGCAACACACAGAUUAGAUACCCUGGUAGUCCACGCCCUAAACGAUGUCAACUAGUUGUUAGCCUUCGGGCCUGGUAGCGCAGCUAACGCAGGAAGUUGACCGCCUGGGAGAGUACGGUCGCAAGAUUAAAACUCAAAGGAAUUGACGGGGACUCGCACAAGCGGUGGAUGAUGUGGAUUAAUUCGAUGCAACGCGAAACCUUACCUACCCUUGACAUGUCUGGAAUCCCGAAGAGAUUUAUGGGAGUGCUCGCAAGAGAACCGGAACACAGGUGCUGUAUGGCUGGUCGUCAGCGCUCGUGUCGUGAGAUGUUGGGUUAAGUCCCGCAAUGAGCGUGCAACCCUUGUCAUUAGUUGCUACGAAAGGGCACUUCUAAUGAGACUGCUGCGACAAACCGGAGGAAGGAUGACGUCAAGUCUCCAUGGCUCCCGGUGUAGGCUUCACACGUCAUACAAUGGUCGGGACAGAGGUCGCCAACCCGCGAGCGGGGAGCCAUCCCAGAAACCCGAUCAGCCCGGAUUCCAGUAGUCUGCAACUCGACUGCGUGAAGUCGGACCGCUAGUAAUCACGGAUCAGCAUGUCGCGGUGAAUACGUUCCCGGUCUUGUACACCUGGCCCGUCACACCAUGGGAGCUGGGUUUUACCAGAAGUAGUUAGCUCAACUGCAAGGAGGGCGAUUACCACGGUAGGAUUCAUGACUGGGGUGAAGUCGUACGCGGUAA
RNAcentral lists this ribosomal RNA (1467 nucleotides) under uncultured Bordetella sp. RNAcentral describes it as "partial 16S-23S ribosomal RNA intergenic spacer". It matches the Rfam family "Bacterial small subunit ribosomal RNA". Lineage: Bacteria; Pseudomonadati; Pseudomonadota; Betaproteobacteria; Burkholderiales; Alcaligenaceae. The record is from RNAcentral.